UGAACGCUAGCGACAGGCCUAACACAUGCAAGUCGAGGGGCAGCGCGGGAGAAGCUUGCUUUCCUGACGGCGACCGGCGCACGGGUGCGUAACAGGUGUGCAAUCUGUCCAUAGUCGGGGGAUAGCCCAGCGAAAGCUGAAUUAAUACUCCAUGUGAAUCGAAGCCGCAUGACUUUGAUUUGAAACGCAAGGACUAUGGGUGAGCACGCUUCUGAUUAGGUAGUUGGUGGGUAACGGCCCACCAAGCCGACGAUCAGUAGGGGUUCUGAGAGGAAGGUCCCCCACAUUGGAACUGAGACACGGUCCAAACUCCUACGGGAGGCAGCAGUGAGGAAUAUUGGUCAAUGGGCGAGAGCCUGAACCAGCCGAGUCGCGUGAAAGGAUGAAGGUUCUAUGGAUUGUAAACUUCUUUUGUCCGAGGGUAAAAAAGGCUACGUGUAGCUUCUUGCAAGUAUCGGACGAAUAAGCAUCGGCUAACUCCGUGCCAGCAGCUGC
This 495-nucleotide ribosomal RNA is filed under the name uncultured bacterium. Its description in RNAcentral is "bacterial SSU rRNA". It matches the Rfam family "Bacterial small subunit ribosomal RNA", at positions 30 to 518 of the family's 1533-position model. The record is from RNAcentral.